This 612-nucleotide ribosomal RNA is filed under the name uncultured bacterium. Its description in RNAcentral is "bacterial SSU rRNA". It matches the Rfam family "Bacterial small subunit ribosomal RNA", at positions 353 to 964 of the family's 1533-position model. The record is from RNAcentral.
AGUGAGGAAUAUUGGGCAAUAGGCGCAAGCCUGACCCAGCCAUGCCGCGUGCAGGAUGAAGGCCCUAUGGGUUGUAAACUGCUUUUAUACGGGACGAAUCCCUCGGACGUGUCCGGGGCUGACGGUACCGUAAGAAUAAGCAUCGGCUAACUCCGUGCCAGCAGCCGCGGUAAUACGGAGGAUGCAAGCGUUAUCCGGAUUCAUUGGGUUUAAAGGGUGCGUAGGCGGAACGAUAAGUCAGCGGUGAAAUCCUGCAGCUUAACUGUAGAAUUGCCAUUGAUACUGCCGUUCUUGAAUGCGGUUGAGGCAGGCGGAAUGUGUAUUGUAGCGGUGAAAUGCGUAGAUAUUACACAGAACACCUAUUGCGUAGGCAGCCUGCUAAGCCGUGAUUGACGCUGAGGCACGAAAGCGUGGGGAGCAAACAGGAUUAGAUACCCUGGUAGUCCACGCUGUAAACGAUGAUCACUCGCUGUUGGCGAUAUACCGUUCAGCGGCUAAGCGAAAGCAUUACGUGAUCCACCUGGGGAGUACGACGGCAACGUUGAAACUCAAAGGAAUUGACGGGGGCCCGCACAAGCGGAGGAACAUGUGGUUUACUUCGAUGAUACGCGA